AGCAAUAUUAACAUUAAAGGGGAGAUGUAUCAUACGAGGCGUGCAGUACCUUUUUGAAAAUUGGUGCUGAUUAUAUGGUGAGGGUUGACGGGGUAGACUUGCUGCAUUUCACCGAAUGGUGGGGAAGAGGAGGUACUGUACAAGAGACCAUUUUCUUUCCUACCCAUCUUUAAAAGAGGCGCUUUAUUUUCAUCUUGACGCGCGUCGUGUUUGUCUUCAUCAAAUGACGACGUUCAGAUGGAACCAGGGUGGGAUACAUCUCAUUGUUGACGAUCUCUGAUUGUGUUUGUUUAUUAACGAGGAGACAAAGCCAAGGUUUCUGUGCGAUGCUGUGUACAAUUGCCACGCUCGACCAGACCUGUGUAAAAUGUUAGAGAAACAUUUCUUCCCUUUACCAUCUCUUCUUGUCUUCUAUGUGGCGUUUCAGGCUGCAUACUGCAAAACUAUCAGUGAACCUGACAAGCACCCAACAGUCGGGGAAUUUGACAAAAUCAGCACGGGGGGCCUCAGGUCCAUCUUGGAGGAUGCUGUUUCACCAGCUUUCGGGGCUACCAUCAUCAUCAUUCUGACAGUAGUUGUGUCUGGCAGCGCGUAUCUCUGCUUUCUAAAGUACGUCUGUGCUGGCUGCUGCACGCCCAUGCAGGUUGUUCCUACUGAGGACUUGGAGUCAAAUAAAGUGGAAGAGCAAGUGUAGUAGGCGGCACAGCAUAUUGGAAAGACUCACUUUGGGGUAAUGGAUGUAGAGAAAAACAAUGUUCAUAAAAAGUCCAUCUAAAGUGUAUUGAGUGGGAUGGGCGUGUUAUUAAUUGCCAUUAAAGAGUAUUCAAUAACAUAUUAUUUAUUUUUCAUUCACUGGAAAUAAUGUCACAAGUAAAAAUAAUAAUGCAACUGGCCAUACUUUAAUUCCUAUAGCACUGUAAAUCUGAUUUCUGACUGUUCAGAACAGUGCCCAUUUGUUGUGGUCUUGUUGGAAACAUUGUCAAAAAAUUGAGUGAAUUGUAAACAAAAAAUAAUGAACUUGCAAAAGAGAAACUAAACUUAAAAUACCCUCUUCGGUGAUUAUACUAACAUUUCAAAUAAAACAAAUUCACAAUGUUUUCUUGAUGUCUCUGACCAAAGUCAAAAGUAAAUGUAGAAGCAAUGUUUUCAAUUUCAGUGAGGUUGACUACUAAUGUUGGGGGCGUUGACUUAAAGGAUGCUACUGUAUCUUUCCAGAAUUUUUGAUACUGGACAACAAGUGUGACUGCACCUAUAAAUAGAUAUCUAGAUAGAUACAGUAGAUACUGUAAUAAUCCCCUUAGGGGAAACCCAGGUAUACCUCAUAGCUCACACAAUCAGACAAUAUACACAAAAUACAGACUAAAAAUACAAACAAUAAAACUAGAAUGAGAUAAAAAUGUUACAGUUCCAUAAAACAGUGUUGCCGUGUGCUUAAAAUCAGGAACCUCUGCCUUACACAGAGUUGGAAGGAAGGCUCUGUACCGCUCUGUUAAUUAAUAAUUAAUAAUUAAUGCUGAGCUGAAAAGUGAGUGAAAUUACAGGAGGUUCUCGAUCAAAGUACACGAGUCCCGUUCCAAGGACAGCAAUGUAAGUUGAGUUUUAGUGUAAGUUGGAAAUUCUACCUAAAUUAUUGCUAUAUCAACAUUUACACAGUACACAGAACGUACAGAGGACAUAUAAAGUACAGUACUAAAAAUUUCCGAAUUAAAUGAAUAAUAAAAAAAAGUAAUACAAAACUCCUUCUAUCCUUGCACACUGGAAGGGUCGUUGCAAGUCAGGGAGAGACACGCAUAUCGGGGAGGAUGUCUCAAUAACGAGACACCGGAGUAGACUCUUUCACAUCCCUCUAAGGAAACCAUUUUUAUCCUUCAUGACGGGCUGCUGUUGCGUUUGAGUGGCUUAGCCAAUGUUGGUCAGUAUUUCUCCACUUUCUGAACAUUUUACAACGCCUUAUUUCACUUCUCUUUUCUUUCAUUUGAUGCAGAGCCAUCAGAAGAGUCUGCCUCAUGAUUAGAGGGCAUAAUGAAGGGGAAAAUAUUGUCCUAUGUCAGUGAAGGGACACAUAAAAACUGGUUAUCUUUUUUUUUGUACAGAAUGUGGGCAAUACAAAUAUAUUUUUACCCAUUCGUUGUUGUCAAACAACCCAACAUAUUGCAGAAAAUCUCAGCGGCUGACAAAAUAGCUGUGUCCUAUGAAGAUGAACGCUUCAUGUAAACAAAGUGUUCAUCUGUAUCGCUUGUUUCAAUGCAAUCCUCAGUGGGCGUCACUGGCGAGGUUUCAGUCUCUUGUUGGACAAAGCAAUCCACAUCCGAUUGUUCAGAAAGGCUUUUUUCCUCCUCUUCCUCCACAAACCUGCCCAAAAUUAACGUGUGUAGGUUAACAUUCAGGUUGUCCGUCUCUCCAAUGUCCUCAUUCUCCUCCUCCAUCAGCUCUAGCCUUCCUUCGUGUGCAAGUAGACCGUGGUCUGAAUUCAAGAUUGAGGCUCCGUUUACCGUCAUGUGUUUUGAUGCUGCGUUCAAAGAUGUAUCAUUCCAAAUCCAGACUUGAGGCUGUGGACUAAAAAUUCCUACAGGGAAAGACAUGGAAUAUAAGUUUGACGAGCUGUUCGGUAGUGGUUCCGAGAAAGACGAAGACGACGGCACGGAGGCACAGAGAAGUUUGGAAGCCUGGCGCAUUUCAUAACCGCCACUGCUGUUUUCUGAAGAGUCCAUCUCUUCGUCUGGAGAGUGCAGAGGUGCUUUGAUGACGAGGGAAGACAAUGAUGCUUUUUGGGGCACAAGCAGAAGGACCUCUUCAGUGUGAGGGAUGGACAUCUGAGAUCGCAGAUAAAGGAAACCAUUGAGACAUUCAGUAGGAGGUUGGUCUCAUGUUUUAUGGGUCCUAUGGGUCACAUUGCUGUUGCAGCUGGACUACCCAGCAUGCCUUGCGACAUUCGGAAAUAAAAUUUUUAAGUUACGUGUUUUGUUUAGCACUUAUUUGUUGAUUUAUGUGAUGUGUUAAAUUACUGUGGAUGUGUUGUGUUUUUGUAUGAGCCAGUAUGUCGUAAUGAUCCAUGCCCCUCCAUCAAAUUACU
Doryrhamphus excisus (bluestripe pipefish) is the source of this 3073-nucleotide long non-coding RNA. RefSeq lists it as uncharacterized. NCBI's taxonomy places the organism in Eukaryota, Metazoa, Chordata, Actinopteri, Syngnathiformes, Syngnathidae. The record is from RefSeq and is a predicted model, not a curated record.